CAGCAGCCGCGGGAAUACGUAGGGUGCAAGCGUUAAUCAGAAUUACUGGGCGUAAAGCGUGCGCAGGCGGUUUGUUAAGACGGAUGUGAAAUCCCCGGGCUCAACCUGGGAACUGCAUUCGUGACUGGCAAGCUAGAGUAUGGCAGAGGGGGGUAGAAUUCCACGUGUAGCAGUGAAAUGCGUAGAUAUGUGGAGGAAUACCGAUGGCGAAGGCAGCCCCCUGGGAUAACACUGACGCUCAUGCACGAAAGCGUGGGGAGCAAACAGGAUUAGAUACCCCUGUAGUCCCUGUCUCUUAUAC
This 301-nucleotide ribosomal RNA is filed under the name uncultured bacterium. RNAcentral's name for it is "partial 16S ribosomal RNA". It matches the Rfam family "Bacterial small subunit ribosomal RNA", at positions 509 to 807 of the family's 1533-position model. The record is from RNAcentral.